This 253-nucleotide ribosomal RNA is filed under the name uncultured bacterium. RNAcentral describes it as "partial 16S ribosomal RNA". It matches the Rfam family "Bacterial small subunit ribosomal RNA", at positions 524 to 776 of the family's 1533-position model. The record is from RNAcentral.
UACGUAGGGUGCAAGCGUUAUCCGGAAUUAUUGGGCGUAAAGAGCUCGUAGGCGGCUUGUCGCGUCGACUGUGAAAUCCCGCGGCUCAACCGCGGGUCUGCAGUCGAUACGGGCAGGCUAGAGUUCGGUAGGGGAGACUGGAAUUCCUGGUGUAGCGGUGAAAUGCGCAGAUAUCAGGAGGAACACCGAUGGCGAAGGCAGGUCUCUGGGCCGAUACUGACGCUGAGGAGCGAAAGCGUGGGGAGCGAACAGG